ACCUAUUUAAAAUUUUAAAAAUCGGUUAAGGAUUAAAAAAGUUACACGCGUAAAACGAAAUUCAAAAUUUUCCAAUGGUAACUCUAUGGGGGAAGGAAACUACCCGAUGGAACGAAUUCCAACGGGUAAAACGAAAAAAGACAGACACAAACAGACACAGACACUCACCAAAACACACCAGGAACAAAAAUUUGGCAGUAGGAACCCCUAAAAACAGUAAAAAAAAUCCAAAAGCAGAAGCAGCUGAAAACACGUCUGCACUCUACAACAGACAAGCAGUGACUGGUCGGCGUACGCGUAUCGUCAACUGCGAGUCGAAUCUUGUACGCGUCUAUGACGAU
This 341-nucleotide long non-coding RNA is filed under the name Androctonus crassicauda. Lineage: Eukaryota; Metazoa; Arthropoda; Arachnida; Scorpiones; Buthidae. The record is from RNAcentral.